UCGAGGAUCUUCCCCAAUGGACGCAAGUCUGAGGGAGCGACGCCGCGUGCGGGAUGAAGGCCUUCGGGUUGUAAACCGCUUUAGGGGGGAGGAAGCCGCAAGGUUGACCUAUCCCCAAAAUAAGCACGGGCUAAGUUCGUGCCAGCAGCCGCGGUAAGACGAACCGUGCGAACGUUGUUCGGAAUCACUGGGCUUAAAGGGCGCGUAGGCGGUCUGCCAAGUCGGUGGUGAAAUCUUUCGGCUCAACCGGAAAACUGCCUUCGAUACUGGCAGGCUGGAGGGAGGUAGGGGUUGCGGGAACUACCAGUGGAGCGGUGAAAUGCGUUGAUAUUGGUAGGAACGCCGGUGGCGAAAGCGCGCAACUGGACCUCUUCUGACGCUGAGGCGCGAAAGCUAGGGGAGCAAACGGGAUUAGAUACCCCGGUAGUCCUAGCCUUAAACGAUGAGAACUAGGUUGUGGACUUGACAUGGGUUCACAGCCGAAGCAAAAGUGCUAAGUCUCCGCCUGGGGAGUAUGGUCGCAAGG
This 526-nucleotide ribosomal RNA is filed under the name uncultured Planctomycetota bacterium. RNAcentral's name for it is "bacterial SSU rRNA". It matches the Rfam family "Bacterial small subunit ribosomal RNA", at positions 355 to 893 of the family's 1533-position model. Lineage: Bacteria; Pseudomonadati; Planctomycetota. The record is from RNAcentral.